RNAcentral lists this unclassified non-coding RNA (1825 nucleotides) under Hevea brasiliensis (rubber tree). The record is from RNAcentral. Lineage: Eukaryota; Viridiplantae; Streptophyta; Magnoliopsida; Malpighiales; Euphorbiaceae.
UAAAAACAAAAUAAAAAAAUAUUUUCAUUGCCAAAUAGUUCAUGGCUACAAGAGGUAAUCCUCAAUGCAAUGCCUCAAACCAAUCAACAAAACUACUCAGAAAAAGCAUGAAUGAUUUACAAAUACUCCAUUCUACUUGAACUUGUUUUGCCUUCAAAGACGGAACAUGUUGUAGCAACUCCUGAAGCAGGAGCUGCACCAAAAUAAAUGAUCUUCUAUCUUUUCAUUUGUUCUUUCAUGUCUGCACAAUAUUCAAGUGCACAAGAACAAGAAAAUGCAAACAUGGAACUGCUAUUCCUUCUCUCAAUUAGCUUUAAUACAAGAGUUUCUCCAAAACAAGUCACAGAGGAAAGAAUAAAUCGAAUAUUAAUUUGGUGGGACGACAAAGAAAAUUCAGAAACAAGAAACUGAAAACAAAAUGCAAAAUUUCAGCAGGGUAGAAUUCCUGUUGGCUCCUACAACUAUAAAAAUAAAUGGGAAAAAUGUCAAAUGUAUAACACGAUAUGUACAUCAUUAGCUUUACCUCCUAUAGUCUCCAAACAGUAAGCUUUCAUAAUCUGUUCCUUUGAGAGUUUUUAGGACUUCAUCCCAAUUCUCAACCAGGUUAGACAACGAUCCUUUAUGUAUCUUUACUUGACGACUCCUAAGAUCGCUAUGUGGAACCUUCAGAAAAUCUUGAACCUCUAGCAAUUUAGUUUGAUUUUUAACUAUAUCCUCAUAGUAAAGAAUUAUGUGCCUGGUGCUCUUGAAGUACUCUAAUGCUUUUGUUGUUGUGUCUCUUACUUGCUCCAGAUUGGGUAUCAGCAGAGUAGCAUUGAUAUAGGGUUUGUAUCUAGCUAGUUUCUCUGCCUCAUCAAGUGAAUGAACAUGAGACUUGUGGAUCCCAUUUAACAGUUUAGCUUCUCGAUCAUAGGAAUUUGCAAGUACUGAAAUCAUUCUGCGCAAAAGAUUUCUCCUGAAGAGAAAGAUUGCUGAAAUACCUCUGGUUUUGAAAUACUCGACUAUUUCAUCAUGAUGUUGCAUCACACCCUGAUUGAGCAUCCACUUUAAACCAACUGCAGCAGUGCACUCAUUCCUGGAAGCACUACUUAGCCAGUCUAGAUUAUAAAUUUUGUCCAAAGUUUCUGUAAUCAUUGAAACAUUACUCCUUCUCACUUUAACAGAAAAAAUCUCUCCAUUUGAGCUUAUGUUAGUAUGGUUAUUUAAUAAAGUCUCAAACCAUCCACUCCCAGAUCUCUGCAUUGACAGAAUGGCAAAAUACCGCACCGGAUUGCAUGCACAUUCGGCCCUGCUAUAAGUUUUGGGCUUAGGGUAGUGCACAUAAGGAAUUUCCCAGGGUUCAAUAUUAGGUUCUGGGCAUGGCUUUUCAAUCACUCCAACACUCAAAAUUCCAGGAUUGUUGUGGAUGCUAAUUUGCUUAAGACAAAUUGAGCAUGUGUAAACACCACAGACCAUUACAAACACCAGAACAACCAUUCUUAGUAACAGUGGAGACUUCUUAGGAGCCUUUAUGAUGAAAAUAUCCUUAGAGAAGAAGCAAAGAUCGUCAGGCAUAGUUUUUGAUAGCUUGAAAAGGAAGAGGAAAAAAAGGCAUUUGGCAGCUCAGAUUCCUUCUUUACAUUCACUGUCCAGCUUUAUCUCUCGCGUUUCAACUCAUUAUUACUACCAUAUAAAAGGCAAAGAAUUCAAAAUAUUAAAAAUAAAAAAUAAAAAGCAGAGAGAAAGGGUUUUCUCGUGAAGAACAAAAUAAUUAGGAUGCUUUUAGACCGUUGCACGCUCUGGACGUCUAUGUUAAUUGUGAUAAUGUGAAGGCAUUCAUCUGCUG